RNAcentral lists this ribosomal RNA (405 nucleotides) under uncultured microorganism. Its description in RNAcentral is "bacterial SSU rRNA". It matches the Rfam family "Bacterial small subunit ribosomal RNA", at positions 9 to 416 of the family's 1533-position model. The record is from RNAcentral.
GAGUUUGAUCAUGGCUCAGGAUGAACGCUGGCGGCGUGCUUAACACAUGCAAGUCGAACGAUGAUCCCAGCUUGCUGGGGGAUUAGUGGCGAACGGGUGAGUAACACGUGAGUAACCUGCCCUUGACUCUGGGAUAAGCCUGGGAAACUGGGUCUAAUACCGGAUAUGACCUUCCAUCGCAUGGUGGUUGGUGGAAAGCUUUUGUGGUUUUGGAUGGACUCGCGGCCUAUCAGCUUGUUGGUGAGGUAAUGGCUUACCAAGGCGACGACGGGUAGCCGGCCUGAGAGGGUGACCGGCCACACUGGGACUGAGACACGGCCCAGACUCCUACGGGAGGCAGCAGUGGGGAAUAUUGCACAAUGGGCGCAAGCCUGAUGCAGCGACGCCGCGUGAGGGAUGACGGCC